GCCCCCGUGGCCUAAUGGCUAAGGCGUGAGACUUCUACUGCAAGUUUCCCUCCAGGGGUUCUAAUCUCAAGAUUGCGGGUUCGAGUCCCGCCGGGGGUU
Non-coding RNA from Epichloe festucae Fl1, 99 nucleotides. Lineage: Eukaryota; Fungi; Ascomycota; Sordariomycetes; Hypocreales; Clavicipitaceae. The record is from the annotation of a GenBank genome assembly.